GCGACGUCGCGCUCUGAGGGGAGCUCGGCGGCGGCGGAGGCCCAGCAUGGGCGGCCCGCGCUCCUCUCCCGCGUCUCUCCGCUGAGCAGCUGCGCCCGGCCAUGGCUGGCCCCUCCCGGGACCUGCUGGCCGACGUCUUCGACGAGGCCGUGCGGAACACCUGCGAUGUCGCCUCCCAUUGCAAGCGGUAUGCUAUAAGUGUUGGCUACUGGAAAGAUCCUUACAUUGAAUAUUUUGUAAGCCAUCCAAAAGAAAGGAAGGCACCUGAAAUCAGCCGUGGGUAUUAUGCACGGGUCCAUGGAGUUGGUCGUUUACUUAAGGCUUUCUUAGAAAAGACAAAAUGCAAUUGCCAAAUUGUAAAUCUUGGUGCUGGCAUGGAUACUCUGUUUUGGAAAUUAAAGGAUGAGAAUCUUCUUCCUAUGAAAUACUUUGAAGUUGAUUUUCCAUCUGUAGUCUCAAGGAAAAUCCACUACAUCAAAUCAAAACCUCCUCUAUCAAAACCGAUCAUGGAAAGCCAUUCAGGGGAGACUCUUCUCAUAGAUCCACACAGUCUAGAUUCCAGCCGAUACGCCAUUAUUGGAGGAGAUCUUCGAGACCUGCCCAAACUAGAGGAAAAGCUGAAGAAAUGCCACAUCAAUCCAGAUUUGCCAACCCUCCUGCUGGCGGAAUGUGUGCUGAUCUACAUGACCACAGAGCAUUCGACCUGCCUCAUCAAGUGGGUGGGAGGCAUGUUUCGAUCUGCCAUGUUUAUCAACUAUGAGCAGGUGAAUAUGGCUGAUCGCUUUGGACAGAUCAUGAUUGAGAACUUGCAGAGCAAGCAGUGCGAGUUGGUUGGUGCAGACGCUUGCAGAUCUCUGGAUACCCAGAAGGAACGAUUCCUGCUACUCGGCUGGGAAACAGUAAACGCUCUCGAUAUGCUGAAGGUCUACCAGAGUUUGCCAUCGGAGGAUAUCAGAAGGAAUGUGCAGAACUCACUGAUAACUUCAGGAAACUGCCCCCGGAACGACAUGGUCUGGAGGGGGAACGGAACAUUCCAGAAUUCAACGGAACGUUCUGUUCCUGAAUUGAAUAGAGGCACUUGAGUUCCUGGAUGAGAAGGAGCCCUUUGAGCAGCUUAUGCAACAUUACUGCCUGUGCUGGGCCGUCAAGGAUUCCCAGAACUUAGGCCUUGCAGACAUUAUUCUGUGAUGCGUUUGCUCCAGUGGAGCUCCAGGUGAAUCUGCUGCCCCCUCCUGGUGGGCCUCUGCAUGCAUCCGCUGCCCGAUCCCUCCCUUGAAGGCGCCUGCAGGUGAAUGUGAGCACUGGAGCCUUGGCUAGUGCCCUCCUCUUCUUUCCCCCAUUCGUGGCACGUGGCAACCUUUUGAAUAAAUUACUCUUUUUGUGAGCAGCUGAAAAACAAGCAAGUCUCUCUCCCUUUUCUUGGGAUUUUUUUAAAAAAACCCAUUAUGAAUAGAAAAGGAUUCUGGUUCCUCCUAGACGUACAAGUGAUGUUCUUGCCUCCUUGUUCCACUGGGUCCUUCAGAACCGGGCAGAGGAUUUAAACUGGGGCAGGGAAGAGGGAUCCUGUUUGCUGUCAGCAAUCCUUAGAGGUCCUUCUUCCCCCUGGAAUCUUGCAUUUCUUUUAUUUUGUGAAAUGCUGUUCCUGGUGCAUUUCCACCCUCUUCUGCUGUGAGUUUAUUGGUAUCUUCUGUGGGAAUUUGCUUUUUUUUCUCUUUUUUGUCAAAAGAGAGCUGGCUUCAGUUCAGGAAGAUCUCUUGUUGAGGCGGAAAAUUCUGUUGGCCCUGAGCUGCAGCUUUUUGUGGCUGUAUUGAAACGUGCUCCUGACUCUGCAAGGGUUAAUAAAUGGUGAAUUUUUGUAAA
RNA transcript from Candoia aspera, 1860 nucleotides. It is a transcript of the gene named leucine carboxyl methyltransferase 1, with no coding region annotated. The transcript is spliced from 12 exons. The record is from RefSeq and is a predicted model, not a curated record. Lineage: Eukaryota; Metazoa; Chordata; Lepidosauria; Squamata; Candoiidae.